This 253-nucleotide ribosomal RNA is filed under the name uncultured bacterium. RNAcentral describes it as "partial 16S ribosomal RNA". It matches the Rfam family "Archaeal small subunit ribosomal RNA", at positions 474 to 727 of the family's 1478-position model. The record is from RNAcentral.
UACCAGCACCCCGAGUGGUCGGGACGAUUAUUGGGCCUAAAGCAUCCGUAGCCGGUCCUACAAGUCUUCCGUUAAAUCCACCUGCUCAACAGAUGGACUGCGGAAGAUACUAUAGGGCUAGGAGGCGGGAGAGGCAAGCGGUACUCAGUGGGUAGGGGUAAAAUCCUCUGAUCCAUUGAAGACCACCAGUGGCGAAGGCGGCUUGCCAGAACGCGCUCGACGGUGAGGGAUGAAAGCUGGGGGAGCAAACCGG